This 1140-nucleotide long non-coding RNA is filed under the name Arabidopsis thaliana (thale cress). RNAcentral describes it as "potential natural antisense gene, locus overlaps with AT4G38530 and AT4G38540 (AT4G38545)". The record is from RNAcentral. Lineage: Eukaryota; Viridiplantae; Streptophyta; Magnoliopsida; Brassicales; Brassicaceae.
AUGCGUCUUCAUCGCUGCUCGCCAUCGCCGGCCACCGGGGUUGCCGCUGAUGCGAUUCGAUCCAGUGGGAACUUUUGUCACCUUGCCUCUUCUCUCUUUCCUAACACUCAAAUCUCUCCUCAGCCUUCAGAUAGAUAGUCUUUGAAGCAAACCAAAGGUGAAAACUGUUCUGCAGUUGGUGAUGACAAGAAGAAUCACAAGCUUUUGACUUAUGUUUGAGAAUCAUCAUGGGACAAGGCUUCCGCAAUCGAAAUGGGACUUUUUCAGCAGCAUCCUAGAAAGACUCUUUGCCUUUAUCGCUUCACCUAGACAACGAGCAAGGAUAACUCCAUCCUCCAUGGCUGAGCAACCUCCUUGUCCGAUAUCAGGAGUCAUUGGGUGAAGUGCAUCUCCUGCAACGCACACGUUGUCUUUUGUGAUGUUUGACCAUAGCAGUUCCCAUGGAGGUCGGUACUUCAGUUGAGACAUCACCAUGCUAUCAAGAUCAGUGGUCUCCACCACAUUCUUAAUGUUUUCAGGCAAGAAGAAGAAACAUACUCGGAUUCUGGAAACAGCAUCUCUGUGGGAGGAGUUCCUGCAGAAAUUGUUCCAACCACCCAUCUGCAGCAAAAUCAAAGAUGAGUCCCCUUUUUUACUGAGCUGAUUAUAUAUGAAUAGUAAUAAUAGUGUUAGUUUGAUACCCUUCAAGGCGAUCAUGGAGACUGCGAAUAUGCUGAGAAACGCCGAGAGCUUCCAUGGCCUUCCAAGCAUUGAACCAAGUGGUAAAUGCAAAUCCUGUCGCUCUCAGUGUCUCCGAAGAUUCCAGCACCAUGCUUCUGAUCCCAAGCCUGUGACACACACCACUUUAGUUAACUUACUCUGCUUAAUAACAACUCAAAAGGCACGCCACACACACCUGUGUAGUCCAACAGCGGUGGAAAGGCCGGAGAUACCGGCGCCAACGAUGAUGAUAUCUGGGCUGCCUUCUUCUUCCAUGGUGCGUUGAUGAUCUUAGAAAGAAAGCUCUGUUUUUCUUCCUCUCUAGUAUUUAUUUUUAACUUUCAAGUAAACAAAAAGAAAUGUGGUUGAAGUUGGCAAGUCAAACAAGGCACCCCGUUCUAGGCAGGCGGCUACAGUCAUCAAAUAUCGAAUCUUUAAUAG